GCGGGCGUAGCUCAGCGGUAGAGCGCAACCUUGCCAAGGUUGAAGUCGUGAGUUCGAUCCUCAUCGCCCGCUCCA
This 75-nucleotide transfer RNA is filed under the name Rhodospirillaceae bacterium. RNAcentral's name for it is "tRNA-Gly". It matches the Rfam family "tRNA". From Rfam's summary of the family: Transfer RNA (tRNA) molecules are approximately 80 nucleotides in length. Their secondary structure includes four short double-helical elements and three loops (D, anti-codon, and T loops). The record is from RNAcentral. RNAcentral also lists the same sequence under 1 other name. Lineage: Bacteria; Pseudomonadati; Pseudomonadota; Alphaproteobacteria; Rhodospirillales; Rhodospirillaceae.